This 1006-nucleotide long non-coding RNA is filed under the name Fragaria vesca (wild strawberry). RNAcentral describes it as "long non-coding RNA (FVES_LNC005306)". The record is from RNAcentral. Lineage: Eukaryota; Viridiplantae; Streptophyta; Magnoliopsida; Rosales; Rosaceae.
GAAAGGAGGAGAGAGGAGGCUAGGGUUCGGAGUUAAACCCGACAACUUUAGCCGACGAAAUAAAUAUUUCGUCGGCUAAAGUCUUAAAUUUCGUCGGCUAUACACCAAUUCGUCGGCUAAAGUCUUGAAAUUCGUCGGCUAAAGUCUUGAAAUUCGUCGGCUAAAGUCUUAAAUUUCGUCGGCUAAAACUUUGAAAUUCGUCGGCUAAACCUUUGAAAUUCGUCGGCUAAAGUAUUUGUAUACAUUUGGCAUGUUGUGAUUGUGAUGAUCAAACUUGAGAAACAGAAAUCCGACCGUCAGAUCUGACUAUCAUGAUAAAAUACAUGUAUGGGAAAAAAUUCAACUUGAUCCGAAAAGAAUAAGGGCUCGAUCCGGACGGUCAAUCUCGUAAGUCAAACCCCUAAACGCACGGAAAAGGUCGUUCGACCGUCUAAAUUACGUAUUUUGGCCGGACCUCCAACUGAAAAUAGUUUUAAACCGAUGACACGCAACAAGUCGUAUAAAAAUUUUACGCAAAAUAACUACCGAAUAUAGGGCUACUCAUAGAUGGAAAAAAUGAAAAAUUGCAUUGACCGCAACUAUCGGCGCCGAAUAUUUACCGGAAUAGUGUGAUUUUUCAACCGUGGAUGUAUUUCAACAUUCUCGUCAUAUCUUAUUGCAUGACUUUUUGCCGUUUGAAGGUUUUACGUAUAGUUUGUUUUUGAAACGGAACAUUUACAUAACACUAGGUAAACAAGUUAUACAACAUUAGUAUGCCUGUUGUGAUUGUGAUGAUCAAACUUGAGAAACAGUCAUCCGACCGUCAGAUCUGACCAUCAUGAUAAAAUACAUGUAUGGGAAAAAAUUCAACUUGAUCCGAAAAGAAUAAGGGCUCGAUCCGGACGGUCAAUCUCGUAAGUCAAACCCCUAAACGCACGGAAAAUGUCGUUCGACCGUCUAAAUUACGUAUUUUGGCCGGACCUCCAACUGAAAAUAGUUUUAAACCGNUGACACGCAACAAGUCGUA